This 460-nucleotide ribosomal RNA is filed under the name uncultured bacterium. RNAcentral describes it as "partial 16S ribosomal RNA". It matches the Rfam family "Bacterial small subunit ribosomal RNA", at positions 338 to 795 of the family's 1533-position model. The record is from RNAcentral.
CCUACGGGUGGCAGCAGUGAGGAAUAUUGGUCAAUGGACGAGAGUCUGAACCAGCCAAGUAGCGUGAAGGAUGACUGCCCUAUGGGUUGUAAACUUCUUUUAUAUGGGAAUAAAAUGUUCCACGUGUGGGAUUUUGUAUGUACCAUAUGAAUAAGGCUCGGCUAACUCCGUGCCAGCAGCCGCGGUAAUACGGAGGAACCGAGCGUUAUCCGGUUUUAUUGGGUUUAAAGGGAGCGUAGGUGGUUAAUUAAGUCAGCGGUGAAAGUUUGUGGCUCAACCCUAAAAUUGCCGUUGAAACUGGUUGACUAGAGUAUAGUAGAGGUAGGCGGAAUGCGUGGUGUAGCGGUGAAAUGCAUAGAUAUCACGCAGAACUCCGAUUGCGAAGGCAGCUUACUGGACUGCAACUGACACUGAGGCUCGAAAGUGUGGGUAUCAAACAGGAUUAGAUACCCCUGUAGUC